GCUUUUGCACGAGGUCUGCAGAGCUGAACUGUUGGGUGCAGCCGUUUUGGGAGGAAGAACUCUGGGCUGAGGCCUCGGCCGCAGCACCCUGUGUGCAAGUGAAACUAGAUGAAGCCCAAAGGAAAAACAAAAGGUUGUGCUACUGAGACUCCAGAUCCACGUUUUCUUACCAGGCAACUCCAGAUGGGAGCACCAGUGGACACAGAGAGGGUGAGCAAUGCACCAAGGAUCACACACUGGAUGACAAAGAAAAAUGGACUCAGCACUCAGGAAUACUUUGUAAACCCAUAAACUCAAAAGUCUACUUGAAGGAGACCUUGGAGUUCUCUACUGCUGGCACUACCAAGGGGAGAAGAAUGGACCAUUCUAUCAGCAA
This is a long non-coding RNA of Bubalus bubalis (water buffalo), 376 nucleotides long. RefSeq lists it as uncharacterized. The transcript is spliced from 4 exons. The record is from RefSeq and is a predicted model, not a curated record. Lineage: Eukaryota; Metazoa; Chordata; Mammalia; Artiodactyla; Bovidae.